GCUGCAUGCGGCUUCUGGCAUCUGCGGUUGCCCGGCAACAGAGUGACGUCACCGGACAUGACUCAACCACCAGAGCCGACCGGAUGUCUUGCUCACGGCCUGCGGACAGAAGCCAGCAUGAUGGGGCUCUUACAAACACCUUUAUAAGGUUCAGAUAAACAAAAUGAUUGAAAGUCUAAAGACGUGCCACAUGAUUUCCUGUACAGAAAGUUGGCAGCGCCACCACAUGAGGCUACAACAAAGGCAGCAGCAGCAUCUAAGAGGGUAAGAGGAGGAGGUGGCGUAGGAGAAUCCACAAGAAGGCCCCAGGGAAAAUAGCUCUCCCCUAGCUAAAUGUGGCCAACCUCAGUGCCCUGAGAAGCAGGCGACAAAGGACCCGGCAGAAUGCCCCAGUGGCAGCAUCCCUCCGCCAGCCAAGAGGGACCUGCUCUGGAAAGAGGCUGCUGGUAAAUUCAUCUUUACCUUACUGCAAACUUCAAGAAAAUGUUUAAUUGUGACCAAAAUUGCUGGAAGAGGAACUGAAUGACAGAAUGACAAUUCUGGCAAAAGAAGAUGGAAGCCAUUAUAGGUGUAGAAGGGAGCCUGAAGCCUCAUGAAGAGGUUAUUACGGUGGAACUCAGCCCACAUCAACAGUGAAACUUAAUCAUCCUGACUGGCUGAGACAUAGAUCCUGAUAAAUUAAACCAGGUCUUGAUUUACACAUUCCAUUUGUCCGUUACUCUCAGUUUGAUAUGCUGAGAAGUUUAAUUUAAUGUUAAAAUACUUGCAGAGAGCCCUUCAAAACCUGGAAGUGAACUACACUCUCUGAUCUGAAGUGAUGUUUUCGGAAAAUCCAUGCAUCUUGAAGACCUCUUUAAUGAAGAUAUUGGGUAACUUUGGAGCUGUGGUGAGGGUAAUCCCCUUAAAGGUGCAAAAUGAGGGUCUGUUCACCACUACAUAGAUGGUACUGAACCCUUGAAAGGAGGGUAGUUCCACAAUGAUGUCCAUGAAAAUAUGUGUCCAUGGACAAUCAGGUAUUGGAAGUGGAUGCAAAGACCCUAUACAGUAGGAAGUUGUUGGAUUUUAUGCUGAGCACAAGUAGAACAAAGCUACCACAAAAUCAGGAAGCACUGACAGACAACAGAAGUUCCUGGAAACCAGAUUCAAUGUUUUCUUCACCCCUGCGUGCCCGGUAAAAUGUGAAAAUGUUUCACCCAACAAAGGUUAGGUGGAACAAAUUAAUUUCUAUUGAGUUUUCUUACUUUAUUAGUAGCAGAAAGGAAGCAAGCUGGAGUCAGAAAUGGUUUAUCCUCACAAGGAACUUUCUACUUGCUAGUACAGAAUGCGUGAGAAUGCAGCAGCCUUGAUAUUUUUGUUUCAUGUAUGAUAUAUGAUGAAAAUAUUAAAAUAGUCAAAGAACAACGACCAUCAGGCCACUCCUGUAAAGCAAAUUUAAUCACUAACAAUUCCUUGUCCCCAAUGGUAUAAUUUGUCGCAGAAUAUGAAAACUGGUGGUAGAUGAGACCACAAGAGCACCACUUCCCAGCUGCAUCUUUCUGUAACAGCCCCAAUUUCAACUGUAGAGGCAUCCACAUCUAAAAAAAAAGGCUGAUAAGGAUUUGGUUGUCUAAGAAUGGGUGCAGAUGUGAAAAGUUGCUUUCGUUAAGAGAACGUGUUCUCAGCUUCAGGAGGCCAGUCCUUGGUAUUCUGUGACUUCCUGGAAAGAACUGUGAUGGGAACAACUAUAAUUCCUGAAGAAUUGUCUGUAGAAGUUACAGAAUUCCAAGAAUAGCUGAAUAGAUUUUAACCCUGUAGGUCCUACAGCGUAGGUGAAGGCCAUUUGGUGAUGGCAGAAAGCUCCUCAGAAUCCAUCUAAAGAUGUAUGCCAGGAAUACAACCUCCUCCUGCUUGAAGAUACACUUCUCUAACUUGCAGUAUAGCUGGUUUUCCUCGAAUCAGCUCAAGACUUCCCUUACAUGCUUUCAAUGAGAGGUCAAAUCCUUGGAAAAGAGCAAAAUGUAAUCUAAAGAGAGCAGUUGCUCUAUCAUUCCUGCUGUUUUUCUGUGACCCCUCCCCCUUUCUAGCACCUGAUAUAUAAUUAUCUCCAGGAAUAAUAGAGCAACUACCACUGUUUGUCUGCAUGUGUGAGAAAGGCAUUGAAUGGGUAUUUGGAAGGCAUGCGCUUUUUCUUGUAGUGCUAAUGAGAAAUCCUGGGGGUGGCUCCUGGGUAAGUUAGCUGUCUGUCUGGAUGUGUUUUAGUAUGAGCCUUUAUCAUGAGGCCUUACUGUAGACAAUUCACAUGGCCCAAUGUGGGCACUGCUAUCAUGUAGUGUUAGGACUGCUGAAAUCAGAGAAGCCUUGGUGUGGCUCAGCAGCUAAACAUGUCUUUGCAAACAUAUGUGACCAACUCUCUGAAAUUCUAUUAGCAGACAGGUUCAAGUAUGGUUACAGGUCAUUUAUUAGU
Long non-coding RNA from Pseudophryne corroboree (corroboree frog), 2443 nucleotides. RefSeq lists it as uncharacterized. The transcript is spliced from 5 exons. The record is from RefSeq and is a predicted model, not a curated record. NCBI's taxonomy places the organism in Eukaryota, Metazoa, Chordata, Amphibia, Anura, Myobatrachidae.